AGCGAACGCUGGCGGCAGGCCUAACACAUGCAAGUCGAACGAACCUUUCGGGGUUAGUGGCGGACGGGUGAGUAACACGUGGGAACGUGCCUUUAGGUUCGGAAUAACUCAGGGAAACUUGUGCUAAUACCGAAUGUGCCCUUCGGGGGAAAGAUUUAUCGCCUUUAGAGCGGCCCGCGUCUGAUUAGCUAGUUGGUUGAGGUAAUGGCUCACCAAGGCGACGAUCAGUAGCUGGUCUGAGAGGAUGAUCAGCCACAUUGGGACUGAGACACGGCCCAAACUCCUACGGGAGGCAGCAGUGGGGAAUCUUGCGCAAGGGGCGAAAGCCUGACGCAGCCAUGCCGCGUGAAUGAUGAAGGUCUUAGGAUUGUAAAAUUCUUUCAGCGGGGACGAUAAUGACGGUACCCGGAGAAGAAGCCCCGGCUAACUUCGUG
This 434-nucleotide ribosomal RNA is filed under the name uncultured bacterium. RNAcentral's name for it is "partial 16S ribosomal RNA". It matches the Rfam family "Bacterial small subunit ribosomal RNA", at positions 29 to 507 of the family's 1533-position model. The record is from RNAcentral.